CUCAAUAUAAAUGGGAAUAGUCGUAGUUUAAUAGCAUCUUCAUUGACUCCCGGAGCAUGAAAGUUCUGACAGUUUCUGAGAAAUCUAGAAAUAUGCGUGUUUGGAUUCUCUUGAGGUAGCCCGUAGAAUUGCAAGGUGUUGCUCAUCAAAUUAAUCCAAUCUGGCCUGAUCUGAAAGUUAUUCACCCCAAAAUCUGGAUACACGAUACUGGAGCGCAUGGGUGCUGCUAUAGGUGUCAGGAACAUUGAUACUGGCAAAUCCCCUUCAUUUAUUUCCCUUCGUUCAUGCUGUUGUUCCGGUGGUGCCACCACUCUUGCGGCCAUUUGCCCAAUCGGCUGAAUA
This 342-nucleotide long non-coding RNA is filed under the name Olea europaea (common olive). Its description in RNAcentral is "long non-coding RNA (OEUR_LNC005062)". The record is from RNAcentral. Lineage: Eukaryota; Viridiplantae; Streptophyta; Magnoliopsida; Lamiales; Oleaceae.